CAGCAGCCACGGGAAUACAGAGGGUGCAAGCGUUAAUCGGAAUUACUGGGCGUAAAGCGCGCGUAGGUGGUUUGUUAAGUUGGAUGUGAAAUCCCCGGGCUCAACCUGGGAACUGCAUCCAAAACUGGCAAGCUAGAGUAUGGUAGAGGGUGGUGGAAUUUCCUGUGUAGCGGUGAAAUGCGUAGAUAUAGGAAGGAACACCAGUGGCGAAGGCGACCACCUGGACUGAUACUGACACUGAGGUGCGAAAGCGUGGGGAGCAAACAGGAUUAGAUACCCCCGUAGUCCCUGUCUCUUAUCC
RNAcentral lists this ribosomal RNA (301 nucleotides) under uncultured bacterium. RNAcentral describes it as "partial 16S ribosomal RNA". It matches the Rfam family "Bacterial small subunit ribosomal RNA", at positions 509 to 809 of the family's 1533-position model. The record is from RNAcentral.